RNAcentral lists this ribosomal RNA (541 nucleotides) under uncultured bacterium. RNAcentral's name for it is "bacterial SSU rRNA". It matches the Rfam family "Bacterial small subunit ribosomal RNA", at positions 777 to 1319 of the family's 1533-position model. The record is from RNAcentral.
AAUAGAUACCCGGGUAGUCCACGCCGUAAACGAUGAAUACUAGGUGUGGGGGUUGUCAUGACCUCCGUGCCGCCGCUAACGCAUUAAGUAUUCCGCCUGGGGAGUACGGUCGCAAGAUUAAAACUCAAAGGAAUUGACGGGGGCCCGCACAAGCAGCGGAGCAUGUGGUUUAAUUCGAAGCAACGCGAAGAACCUUACCUAGACUUGACAUCUCCUGAAUUACUCUGUAAUAGAGGAAGCCCUUCGGGGCAGGAAGACAGGUGGUGCAUGGUUGUCGUCAGCUCGUGUCGUGAGAUGUUGGGUUAAGUCCCGCAACGAGCGCAACCCUUAUUGUUAGUUGCUACCAUUUAGUUGAGCACUCUAGCGAGACUGCCCGGGUUAACCGGGAGGAAGGUGGGGAUGACGUCAAAUCAGUCAUGCCCCUUAUGUCUAGGGCUACACACGUGCUACAAUGGCUGGUACAGAGAGAUGCAAUACCGUGAGGUGGAGCCAAACGUUUAAAACCAGUCUCAGUUCGGAUUGUAGGCUGAAACUCGCCUAC